AGAAUCAACGCUGGCGGCGUGCCUAACACAUGCAAGUCGAACGAGAAAGGGACUUCGGUUCUGAGUACAGUGGCGCACGGGUGAGUAACACGUGACUAACCUACCCUUGAGUGGGGAAUAACUUCGAGAAAUCGAGGCUAAUACCGCAUAAUACCUACGGGUCAAAGGAGCAAUUCGCUUAAGGAGGGGGUCGCGGCAGAUUAGCUAGUUGGCGGGGUAAUGGCCCACCAAGGCAGUGAUCUGUA
RNAcentral lists this ribosomal RNA (245 nucleotides) under uncultured bacterium. RNAcentral describes it as "partial small subunit ribosomal RNA". It matches the Rfam family "Bacterial small subunit ribosomal RNA", at positions 26 to 285 of the family's 1533-position model. The record is from RNAcentral.